This 76-nucleotide microRNA precursor is filed under the name Myotis lucifugus (little brown bat). RNAcentral describes it as "mir-9229 microRNA precursor family". It matches the Rfam family "mir-9229 microRNA precursor family". Lineage: Eukaryota; Metazoa; Chordata; Mammalia; Chiroptera; Vespertilionidae. The record is from Rfam by way of RNAcentral.
GAGACAGCCCUCUGGGGCAAGACUUGCUUCAAUGGGGCUUUGGUGCUCACUGAGUCUGCCCCCUGAGUGUGUCCUU